GAUGAACCCAGAUGGGAUUAGCUAGUAGGCGGGGUAACGGCCCACCUAGGCGACGAUCCCUAGCUGGUCUGAGAGGAUGACCAGCCACACUGGAACUGAGACACGGUCCAGACUCCUACGGGAGGCAGCAGUGGGGAAUAUUGCACAAUGGGCGCAAGCCUGAUGCAGCCAUGCCGCGUGUAUGAAGAAGGCCUUCGGGUUGUAAAGUACUUUCAGCGGGGAGGAAGGCGAUGUGGUUAAUAACCGCGUCGAUUGACGUUACCCGCAGAAGAAGCACCGGCUAACUCCGUGCCAGCAGCCGCGGUAAUACGGAGGGUGCAAGCGUUAAUCGGAAUUACUGGGCGUAAAGCGCACGCAGGCGGUCUGUUAAGUCAGAUGUGAAAUCCCCGGGCUUAACCUGGGAACUGCAUUUGAAACUGGCAGGCUUGAGUCUCGUAGAGGGGGGUAGAAUUCCAGGUGUAGCGGUGAAAUGCGUAGAGAUCUGGAGGAAUACCGGUGGCGAAGGCGGCCCCCUGGACGAAGACUGACGCUCAGGUGCGAAAGCGUGGGGAGCAAACAGGAUUAGAU
This 567-nucleotide ribosomal RNA is filed under the name uncultured bacterium. RNAcentral's name for it is "bacterial SSU rRNA". It matches the Rfam family "Bacterial small subunit ribosomal RNA", at positions 224 to 783 of the family's 1533-position model. The record is from RNAcentral.